RNAcentral lists this transfer RNA (76 nucleotides) under Planctomycetota bacterium. Its description in RNAcentral is "Planctomycetes bacterium tRNA-Ala". It matches the Rfam family "tRNA". From Rfam's summary of the family: Transfer RNA (tRNA) molecules are approximately 80 nucleotides in length. The record is from RNAcentral. RNAcentral also lists the same sequence under 1 other name. Lineage: Bacteria; Pseudomonadati; Planctomycetota.
GGGGACGUAGCUCAAUUGGUAGAGCACCUGCUUUGCAAGCAGGAAGUUGUGGGUUCAAGUCCCGUCGUCUCCACCA